This is a non-coding RNA of Callithrix jacchus (white-tufted-ear marmoset), 518 nucleotides long. The record is from RefSeq and is a predicted model, not a curated record. NCBI's taxonomy places the organism in Eukaryota, Metazoa, Chordata, Mammalia, Primates, Cebidae.
GGGAUGGAGCGCACUGCUUCUCCCGGGGGCGCUCGGUUGGUGAGAGCUGGAGUGCAUCUCAAGUUCCCAUAACAAGCUUGGAGGGAUUUUUUCUUCCAAACCGCGCGGGAACGGAUUUCAAUUCUAGAGCGGACAACACGCGCCAGGGGCGAGAGCGGGAGCAGCUCCUUGUUCUUUGCUACACUGGGCUCCAGAGAGUGCAACCUGGGGCUCCCACUUGGAAGACCGCGCUCCAGUCCCGCUUGUCUCCUGGGGCCCCAGAAAGUUUCUUGAAAGUGGAAACUCUUACCUGUCCCAAAAGGUCAUAGCCCAGCUCCUCGGCGAUGGCCGAGGCUGCUUCCGGGCCCCCGGGGAUCUCCGCCGCCCAUUCAUUGACAAAUUGCCUUUUCGCUUUUGCACUGUUCAAUGCACACCAAGCGCAAAAGAGGGCGAAAGCAGUGCACUGCAGAGUCCAGGCUCUUCGCUCCAUGGCUCACACACUCGCUUGAAGACGAUUGGGAACGGAAGAGGAGAAAGAA